ACACCGUGGUGUGGGAACUUUUUCAAAAGUCCCUUAAAUCUUUCCCAAGAUUCGUAAACAGAUUCUGCAUCGAGUUGAGAAAAAUUAUUAAUUUCUUGUCUCAUUCU
This is a non-coding RNA of Nicotiana sylvestris (wood tobacco), 107 nucleotides long. The record is from Rfam. NCBI's taxonomy places the organism in Eukaryota, Viridiplantae, Streptophyta, Magnoliopsida, Solanales, Solanaceae.